ACCAACCUACGGGGGGCAGCAGUGGGGAAUAUUGGGCAAUGGGCGCAAGCCUAACCCAGCAACGCCGCGUGAAGGAAGAAGGCUUUCGGGUUGUAAACUUCUUUUCUCAGGGACGAAGCAAGUGACGGUACCUGAGGAAUAAGCCACGGCUAACUACGUGCCAGCAGCCGCGGUAAUACGUAGGUGGCAAGCGUUAUCCGGAUUUACUGGGUGUAAAGGGCGUGUAGGCGGGGAGGCAAGUCAGAUGUGAAA
This 252-nucleotide ribosomal RNA is filed under the name uncultured bacterium. Its description in RNAcentral is "partial 16S ribosomal RNA". It matches the Rfam family "Bacterial small subunit ribosomal RNA", at positions 335 to 599 of the family's 1533-position model. The record is from RNAcentral.